This 1509-nucleotide ribosomal RNA is filed under the name Helicobacter pylori. RNAcentral describes it as "bacterial SSU rRNA". It matches the Rfam family "Bacterial small subunit ribosomal RNA". Lineage: Bacteria; Pseudomonadati; Campylobacterota; Epsilonproteobacteria; Campylobacterales; Helicobacteraceae. The record is from RNAcentral.
UUUAUGGAGAGUUUGAUCCUGGCUCAGAGUGAACGCUGGCGGCGUGCCUAAUACAUGCAAGUCGAACGAUGAAGCUUCUAGCUUGCUAGAAUGCUGAUUAGUGGCGCACGGGUGAGUAACGCAUAGGUCAUGUGCCUCUUAGUUUGGGAUAGCCAUUGGAAACGAUGAUUAAUACCAGAUACUCCCUACGGGGGAAAGAUUUAUCGCUAAGAGAUCAGCCUAUGUCCUAUCAGCUUGUUGGUAAGGUAAUGGCUUACCAAGGCUAUGACGGGUAUCCGGCCUGAGAGGGUGAACGGACACACUGGAACUGAGACACGGUCCAGACUCCUACGGGAGGCAGCAGUAGGGAAUAUUGCUCAAUGGGGGAAACCCUGAAGCAGCAACGCCGCGUGGAGGAUGAAGGUUUUAGGAUUGUAAACUCCUUUUGUUAGAGAAGAUAAUGACGGUAUCUAACGAAUAAGCACCGGCUAACUCCGUGCCAGCAGCCGCGGUAAUACGGAGGGUGCAAGCGUUACUCGGAAUCACUGGGCGUAAAGAGCGCGUAGGCGGGAUAGUCAGUCAGGUGUGAAAUCCUAUGGCUUAACCAUAGAACUGCAUUUGAAACUACUAUUCUAGAGUGUGGGAGAGGUAGGUGGAAUUCUUGGUGUAGGGGUAAAAUCCGUAGAGAUCAAGAGGAAUACUCAUUGCGAAGGCGACCUGCUGGAACAUUACUGACGCUGAUUGCGCGAAAGCGUGGGGAGCAAACAGGAUUAGAUACCCUGGUAGUCCACGCCCUAAACGAUGGAUGCUAGUUGUUGGAGGGCUUAGUCUCUCCAGUAAUGCAGCUAACGCAUUAAGCAUCCCGCCUGGGGAGUACGGUCGCAAGAUUAAAACUCAAAGGAAUAGACGGGGACCCGCACAAGCGGUGGAGCAUGUGGUUUAAUUCGAAGAUACACGAAGAACCUUACCUAGGCUUGACAUUGAGAGAAUCCGCUAGAAAUAGUGGAGUGUCUAGCUUGCUAGACCUUGAAAACAGGUGCUGCACGGCUGUCGUCAGCUCGUGUCGUGAGAUGUUGGGUUAAGUCCCGCAACGAGCGCAACCCCCUUUCUUAGUUGCUAACAGGUUAUGCUGAGAACUCUAAGGAUACUGCCUCCGUAAGGAGGAGGAAGGUGGGGACGACGUCAAGUCAUCAUGGCCCUUACGCCUAGGGCUACACACGUGCUACAAUGGGGUGCACAAAGAGAAGCAAUACUGCGAAGUGGAGCCAAUCUUCAAAACACCUCUCAGUUCGGAUUGUAGGCUGCAACUCGCCUGCAUGAAGCUGGAAUCGCUAGUAAUCGCAAAUCAGCCAUGUUGCGGUGAAUACGUUCCCGGGUCUUGUACUCACCGCCCGUCACACCAUGGGAGUUGUGUUUGCCUUAAGUCAGGAUGCUAAAUUGGCUACUGCCCACGGCACACACAGCGACUGGGGUGAAGUCGUAACAAGGUAACCGUAGGUGAACCUGCGGUUGGAUCACCUCCUUUCUAGA